This 389-nucleotide ribosomal RNA is filed under the name Acanthamoeba sp. RNAcentral's name for it is "SSU rRNA". The stretch from base 1 to 344 matches the Rfam family "Eukaryotic small subunit ribosomal RNA", at positions 789 to 1116 of the family's 1831-position model. Lineage: Eukaryota; Discosea; Longamoebia; Acanthamoebidae. The record is from RNAcentral.
CUGCCACCGAAUACAUUAGCAUGGGAUAAUGGAAUAGGACCCUGUCCUCCUAUUUUCAGUUGGUUUUGGCAGCGCGAGGACUAGGGUAAUGAUUAAUAGGGAUAGUUGGGGGCAUUAAUAUUUAAUUGUCAGAGGUGAAAUUCUUGGAUUUAUGAAAGAUUAACUUCUGCGAAAGCAUCUGCCAAGGAUGUUUUCAUUAAUCAAGAACGAAAGUUAGGGGAUCGAAGACGAUCAGAUACCGUCGUAGUCUUAACCAUAAACGAUGCCGACCAGCGAUUAGGAGACGUUGAAUACAAAACACCACCAUCGGCGCGGUCGUCCUUGGCGUCGGUCUUUCGGGGCCGGCGCGGGGGCGGCUUAGCCCGGUGGCACCGGUGAAUGACUCCCUA